UCCCGGUUCCGGGCCCAGCAUACCCGACCUACAUGAGACGAUCACCUGACCUCGUCUUCCUCAUUUUGGCCACUAGAUGGCCUGCAUCUGCCCGUGUCGGCUGUUAUGCCCCCUCUCCCCAUCAAAUUAAACUUAGCCGGACAUUCUUUUCCUUCAAUAUGCAUCUCCAUUUAGUUAAUUACGUUAUCUUGCACGUGAGCAUUGCUUCACCAGGAUGCGUUUUAUUUACUUUACCAACAUUAAAGAACAGGCGACGAAAAAAUGCAAAGUUAUUGCCAGUCGCCGCAAACAAUAAAAACAAGAAAGUAGUUAUGAGGCAAUCGUUGCACCGA
Molecule: long non-coding RNA, 332 nt
Organism: Drosophila montana
Lineage: Eukaryota; Metazoa; Arthropoda; Insecta; Diptera; Drosophilidae
Exons: 3
Source: RefSeq, a predicted model, not a curated record